This 511-nucleotide small RNA is filed under the name Pongo abelii (Sumatran orangutan). RNAcentral's name for it is "retained intron". Lineage: Eukaryota; Metazoa; Chordata; Mammalia; Primates; Hominidae. The record is from RNAcentral.
UGGUCACCGUGAAAAACUCUGAAUCACCUUUUCAUUUUGCAGAAUGGAGGAACACCUCUGCUUUAUGCUGUACAUGGAAAUCAUGUGAAAUGUGUAAAGAUGCUCUUAGAAAGUGGGGCUGAUCCAACAAUUGAAACUGACUCUGGAUAUAAUUCUAUGGAUCUAGCUGUAGCCCUAGGCUAUAGAAGUGUUCAACAGGUUAUUGAGUCACAUUUGUUGAAGCUGCUUCAAAAUAUCAAGGAGUAGACACAGUCAUCAGAAAAUGUCUGCCCUUUUGUUUACUUCUUGGUCCGUAUAAAUGAUAGUUUUGUUUACUUAUAAAUUUUUACCUCAGUUGCAAUAUUUACUGGUUUUUAGUAGGUUUUAAUAAAUAUUUCUCUGAGUAAUUCACUGGUUUAUAAUAAAUUUAAUACUCUUUUUAUAACUAUGUUUUACUGUAUAUUUAAAAUUAUAAAUUAAUGUUUCAUGGCAUGUAAAUUUUUAUGGUACGGAUAGUUAACAUCGGUCUUUG